AAAACAUCAUGAGUUGCUAAAAAGGCAGAUGGGUGUGUCAAAGAAAGUUAGUGGUUGCUGUAAACUAACCCGCCGCUGUCUCGAGUUACACAACGAAAAAAAUAUGACGUAUGCCGCGAUAAGGCAUUUUAAGUGGUAGGUCCGAUGACUUACAAUUUAGGUGGUACCACGGUUAAAACCGUCCUAUAU
RNAcentral lists this non-coding RNA (189 nucleotides) under Leuconostoc gasicomitatum. Lineage: Bacteria; Bacillati; Bacillota; Bacilli; Lactobacillales; Lactobacillaceae. The record is from RNAcentral.